This 306-nucleotide ribosomal RNA is filed under the name Triticum aestivum (bread wheat). RNAcentral's name for it is "partial small subunit ribosomal RNA". The record is from RNAcentral. Lineage: Eukaryota; Viridiplantae; Streptophyta; Magnoliopsida; Poales; Poaceae.
AUGAAGAGAGUUGAACUCACUCUUAAUAAGUUCUCUGGUUGCGCACUUUCUUGGUGGAAUCAGUUGCAAAAGGAUUAUCUUGCUUUGGGAGGUGACUAUAUCUGCAGCUUGGAUACAAUGAAAAGAGUCAUGAGGCAUCGAUUCGUUCCAUUAUACUAUGAGAAGAAGUUGUACAAGAGGUUGAAGGGGCUUAUCCAAGGUUCUCGCACUAUCAAGGAGUACUAUAAUGAGAUGGAGAAGUUGUUGAUCCGGACAAAAACCCAAGAGAAUGGUGAAGCAAAGAUGAGAGAUUCUUACAUGGGCUGA